UAUGCCAUGAUGAGCUAUUAACAUGUAAGAAGAUCCCUCUUGCACUGGUAUCUUCAAUGAAAUUUUUUUGUUACGCUUGUUGGACAAU
This is a small nucleolar RNA of Camellia sinensis, 88 nucleotides long. RefSeq annotates it as small nucleolar RNA R24. The record is from RefSeq and is a predicted model, not a curated record. NCBI's taxonomy places the organism in Eukaryota, Viridiplantae, Streptophyta, Magnoliopsida, Ericales, Theaceae.